RNAcentral lists this long non-coding RNA (847 nucleotides) under Ixodes scapularis (black-legged tick). RNAcentral's name for it is "uncharacterized LOC121835972, transcript variant X3". Lineage: Eukaryota; Metazoa; Arthropoda; Arachnida; Ixodida; Ixodidae. The record is from RNAcentral.
GCCGGCAACAAUGUGUUGUCAUGAUUUGUUGAUGAGGAAUGCCAUGCUUUCUGCCUACACCCCAAUGACUACCUGCGGCUCGGCUGUUGAUGCGGGAGGUGCUGUAGGGCCCUACUGCCUAACACUUUCUGACGAGGACAUCCUUGCAAAGAAUGAGAUCGUGGAUCCUAGCAUCGGCCUCCAGAAAAGGAAGGAAUGAUCCAUGUCGGGCAAGGUGUGCACGUCAACCAGGAAUGCGGGCAACAUGCGGCAAGCAGAGUGCGACUCCAUGUUUUGCAAGAUCACUGCUGCUUCCAUAGGGCUGCUUUUCACUACACCUGAGGGAGAAAGGUACUGCCAGGCUGAAAGGGCAGCCCGGCACCAGAAGAUACGGCGGUACCUGUCAGAAAAGCUGUCCAAUCUCAAGAGAAAUCACUACAAAGGCUCAUCCCUUUGCUGCCUGUCCUUCCCCGAUGCGUGGUCCCACCACAGACUGCCCAUGCUGUUGCAGGUCUGCCAUCGCUUGCACCCCAUGUUGUAGCCUUUUUGCCCUUUUCUUCAUAUUAAUUUAGCUUAAUUUAUAUAUUGCCAAUACUAUUGAAAUGGAACAAAUGUACUAUCGCAGCCAAUAUGAGCUGAAACGCCACUGCACGUGGCACGCGAUGAGAGUUGUCUCUCAGAUUGUUCAGCAAACCUUGGUAUGCGUUGAGGUAGAAACAAAUCACUCUUGUGCUCGUUGCACCACUAUGCCGUUCCGUGUCAAUUUUCAGCUCAUAGUGGCACAAUGAGUGCAAGAAGCAACCUGCCUAAACCUCAGCAAACACAGAGGUUCACUGAAAAUCCGACAGGUGGCUCUGAUAGUACCACA